UGUGUGUUUACUCAUGAGUAUCUAAAAGAGACCUCUGAGUCUAUUUCAAUGGCUUUCCUUCUCCUCUCUGUAUCAUACUCGAGUUGGAAACCAUAGGGUUUGUGGUUUUGGCGAGUUUUUAUCUUGUGUUUGGAUUAGAGUUCUGUUUCAGAACCCUGGGCUCUCCCAAACUCAUUUAGAGUCUGUGAAUUGGAUUCGAACCUGUUGAUUAUGAUUUUGAAACUUUUCUAUGCUAUCCUUUUCUAAUUAACACAACGAC
Molecule: long non-coding RNA, 259 nt
Filed under: Nicotiana benthamiana
Lineage: Eukaryota; Viridiplantae; Streptophyta; Magnoliopsida; Solanales; Solanaceae
Description: long non-coding RNA (NBEN_LNC013175)
Source: RNAcentral